Molecule: ribosomal RNA, 195 nt
Filed under: Triticum aestivum (bread wheat)
Lineage: Eukaryota; Viridiplantae; Streptophyta; Magnoliopsida; Poales; Poaceae
Description: partial small subunit ribosomal RNA
Source: RNAcentral
AUGGAAGGUCUCCUUCACUGGGAUUUCAACCCUGGCCUUGCGGUUGCAGAUCAGGUGCAUCGAUGAUUUGGAGAAACGGUCCACUUCGCUCCUUCACGCCCAACCAAGGAAUUUUUCUUGGUGGUUUCUUUUUCCUCGGCUUCCUUCCCUCUCUCUGAAGAAUCUGUGGGAGUGGCUCUCCAAUGUUGCAUUGGU